Molecule: long non-coding RNA, 116 nt
Filed under: Numida meleagris (helmeted guineafowl)
Lineage: Eukaryota; Metazoa; Chordata; Aves; Galliformes; Numididae
Description: lncRNA (ENSNMEG00000014542.1)
Source: RNAcentral
AGAAAAUGCAAGUUAAGAAGACAAUCCUGAUGAUAGACACAAGCUCCUACAGCAGGCAAGACAAUGCCCUGUUACCACAGAGGAGCCAGACAGGAAUGUGGAUGGAGGAGGAUACA